GUUUUUGGAAAGUUUGUUAUAGCUUGCUAUAGCUACUUUCCAUAGGCGUCGGCCUCAACUUCCAGUGAGACAGACUAUCGCAAUGUUCUGCUCCAAGAUAAUGUAGUACUAGUGUUCGAAUUCUGGUUCUUGGAUAUUUUGAGUUGCUACUCUUUUGAAAAGAUUGCAGCUUGAAUAAAAAAGGAAUAAAUGUUUACCGACAAUUCAGAUGAAUUUAACUUCAUUUUGUAAAUAAGUAUCACAAAACUACUUUGCGGAUCGGCCAUUGGCUGAAGAAAAUCAAAAGAAAUCUACGCGAGACAGCGUUUCAUUCAUGAAUAUUUCAUGAAUGAACAUUUUCCCGCACUAUUUUUUACUAUGUACGAUAUUUACAACUGUUUAUUAUUGAAUAAGUAAAAGCCCGAGAAUAUCGAAAGAGUCCGGUAUGCGAGAACAAGUUGAUAUUUGACCAAGUUGUCGGAUAAUUGACAAGUGAUAAUGGUUUGAUUUAUUUAACAAUACACAGGUGAUAGAAUAUAAAAUAAUCGAUAAUUAUAUGGCUUAUGUCUCACGCCAAGAACAUGUAAAUAAGGUAAAUACCGGCUUUAAUAGAAAAGUGCAUUGUUUUUGUCAAAACUGACAUCGAUCUGAAAGUUUUGAUGCCAAACAUCAGGAACAUAUAUAUUAGGCAGCAACCAUUUGAUUUUCUGGGGGG
Molecule: long non-coding RNA, 694 nt
Filed under: Mytilus galloprovincialis (Mediterranean mussel)
Lineage: Eukaryota; Metazoa; Mollusca; Bivalvia; Mytilida; Mytilidae
Source: RNAcentral